This 540-nucleotide ribosomal RNA is filed under the name uncultured bacterium. Its description in RNAcentral is "partial 16S ribosomal RNA". It matches the Rfam family "Bacterial small subunit ribosomal RNA", at positions 28 to 523 of the family's 1533-position model. The record is from RNAcentral.
GAUGAACGCUGGCGGUGUGCCUAAUACAUGCAAGUCGUACGCGUUCUCGUUUCUGAUUGACGGUGCUUGCACCUAAUUGACGAGACAUUGGAAAGAGUGGCGGACGGGUGAGUAACACGUGGGUAACCUGCCCAGAAGCGGGGGAUAACAUUUGGAAACAGAUGCUAAUACCGCAUAAAAGUCAAAACCACAUGGUUUUGAUUUAAAAGAUGGCCUUUGUGCUAUCACUUCUGGAUGGACCCGCGGCGUAUUAGCUAGUUGGUAAGGUAAUGGCUUACCAAGGAAAUGAUACGUAGCCGAACUGAGAGGUUGAUCGGCCACAAUGGGACUGAGACACGGCCCAUACUCCUACGGGAGGCAGCAGUAGGGAAUCUUCCACAAUGGGCGCAAGCCUGAUGGAGCAACACCGCGUGAGUGAAGAAGGGUUUCGGCUCGUAAAACUCUGUUGUUAAAGAAGAACGUAUCUAAGAGUAACUGCUUAGGUAGUGACGGUAUUUAACCAGAAAGCCACGGCUAACUACGUGCCAGCAGCCGCGGUAA